This 645-nucleotide ribosomal RNA is filed under the name uncultured Actinomycetes bacterium. Its description in RNAcentral is "bacterial SSU rRNA". It matches the Rfam family "Bacterial small subunit ribosomal RNA", at positions 232 to 885 of the family's 1533-position model. Lineage: Bacteria; Bacillati; Actinomycetota; Actinomycetes. The record is from RNAcentral.
CGCGGCCUAUCAGCUUGUUGGUGAGGUAAUGGCUCACCAAGGCGACGACGGGUAGCCGGCCUGAGAGGGUGACCGGCCACACUGGGACUGAGACACGGCCCAGACUCCUACGGGAGGCAGCAGUGGGGAAUAUUGCACAAUGGGCGCAAGCCUGAUGCAGCAACGCCGCGUGAGGGAUGACGGCCUUCGGGUUGUAAACCUCUUUUAGUAGGGAAGAAGCCUUCGGGUGACGGUACCUGCAGAAAAAGCACCGGCUAACUACGUGCCAGCAGCCGCGGUAAUACGUAGGGUGCAAGCGUUGUCCGGAAUUAUUGGGCGUAAAGAGCUCGUAGGCGGCUUGUCGCGUCUGCUGUGAAAGCCCGAGGCUCAACCUCGGGCCUGCAGUGGGUACGGGCAAGCUAGAGUGCGGUAGGGGAGAUUGGAAUUCCUGGUGUAGCGGUGGAAUGCGCAGAUAUCAGGAGGAACACCGAUGGCGAAGGCAGAUCUCUGGGCCGUAACUGACGCUGAGGAGCGAAAGCAUGGGGAGCGAACAGGAUUAGAUACCCUGGUAGUCCAUGCCGUAAACGUUGGGAACUAGAUGUAGGGCCUGUUCCACGGGUUCUGUGUCGUAGCUAACGCAUUAAGUUCCCCGCCUGGGGAGUACGG